UGGGGAAUUUUGCGCAAUGGGGGAAACCCUGACGCAGCAACGCCGCGUGAGUGAUGAAGGCUUUCGGGUCGUAAAGCUCUGUCAGUAGGGAAGAAGUGUAAUGGUGCUAAUACCACCUUUACUUGACGGUACCUACAAAGGAAGCACCGGCUAACUCCGUGCCAGCAGCCGCGGUAAUACGGAGGGUGCAAGCGUUGUUCGGAUUUAUUGGGCGUAAAGCGCGUGUAGGCGGUUUCUUAAGUCUGAUGUGAAAGCCCUGGGCUCAACCCAGGAAGUGCAUUGGAUACUGGGAGACUUGAAUACGGGAGAGGGUAGUGGAAUUCCUAGUGUAGGAGUGAAAUCCGUAGAUAUUAGGAGGAACACCGGUGGCGAAGGCGGCUACCUGGACCGAUAAUUGACGCUGAGACGCGAAAGCGUGGGGAGCAAACAGGAUUAGAUACCCUGGUAGUCCACGCCGUAAACGAUGAGAACUAGGUGUUGCGGGUAUUGACCCCUG
This 496-nucleotide ribosomal RNA is filed under the name uncultured Pseudomonadota bacterium. RNAcentral describes it as "bacterial SSU rRNA". It matches the Rfam family "Bacterial small subunit ribosomal RNA", at positions 355 to 840 of the family's 1533-position model. The record is from RNAcentral. Lineage: Bacteria; Pseudomonadati; Pseudomonadota.